Molecule: ribosomal RNA, 468 nt
Filed under: uncultured bacterium
Lineage: Bacteria
Description: partial 16S ribosomal RNA
Rfam family: Bacterial small subunit ribosomal RNA
Source: RNAcentral
GACGAACGCUGGCGGCUUUCUUCCCCCCUUCCCUUCGAACUUCCCGGCCCUGCUUUUUUUUUUUUCUCGCUUGGCUAACGGUUGAGUAACCCGUGAGUCCCCUUCCCUUGACUUAUGUAUAACUUCAUGAACCUGGGGCUACUACCGGAUCGGCGCUCCUGCUGCAUGGUGGGGGUUGGAAAGUUUCGGCGGUUGGGGAUGGACUCGCGGCUUAUCAGCUUGUUGGUGGGGUAGUGGCUUACCAAGGCUUUGACGGGUAGCCGGCCUGAGAGGGUGACAGGAAACAUGGGGAAGGAGAUACGGACCAGACUACUACGGGAGGCAGCAGUGGGGAAUAUUGCACAAUGGGCGGAAGCCUGAUGCAGCAACGCCGCGUGCGGGAGGAAGGCAGGCGGGUUGUAAACCGCUUUCGCCUGUGACGAAGCGUGAGUGACGGUAAUGGGUAAAGAAGCAACGGCUAACUACGUG